RNAcentral lists this ribosomal RNA (311 nucleotides) under uncultured bacterium. RNAcentral's name for it is "bacterial SSU rRNA". It matches the Rfam family "Bacterial small subunit ribosomal RNA", at positions 28 to 334 of the family's 1533-position model. The record is from RNAcentral.
GACGAACGCUGGCGGCGCGCCUAACACAUGCAAGUCGAACGGAGCUUUGAGAGCUUGCUUUUAAAGCUUAGUGGCGAACGGGUGAGUAACGCGUGAGUAACCUGCCCUGGAGUGGGGGACAACAGUUGGAAACGACUGCUAAUACCGCAUAAGACCACGAACCGGCAUCGGAAAGGGGUCAAAGGAGGAAUCCGCUUUGGGAGGGGUUCGCGUCCCAUUAGGUAGUUGGUGAGGUAACGGCCCACCAAGCCGACGAUGGGUAGCCGAGCUGAGAGGCUGAUCGGCCACACUGGAACUGAGACACGGUCCAG